RNAcentral lists this unclassified non-coding RNA (270 nucleotides) under Hevea brasiliensis (rubber tree). Lineage: Eukaryota; Viridiplantae; Streptophyta; Magnoliopsida; Malpighiales; Euphorbiaceae. The record is from RNAcentral.
CCACCUCCACCUCCACCUCCACCAUCAACAUCCUCAAAAUCCCCACCAUCCCCAUCCCAUCCUGCACCACAAUCGCGAUCACCUCCAGCACGAAAAUCACCACCACCUCGACGCGUAUCACCAACUCCACCACGUUCUAUAAGCAGUCCGCCGCCGUCACCUAGGCAUGCGUUCCGCGGCAGCUCCUCAAACGGGAGCAGGACGGGGCAGCAAUCACCGUCAUCAACAAUGCGAAAUGGUCAUGCGAUGAACACAGGGCAGAAGAUUGGG